Molecule: ribosomal RNA, 475 nt
Filed under: Escherichia coli
Lineage: Bacteria; Pseudomonadati; Pseudomonadota; Gammaproteobacteria; Enterobacterales; Enterobacteriaceae
Description: bacterial SSU rRNA
Rfam family: Bacterial small subunit ribosomal RNA
Source: RNAcentral
GCUGUCGUCAGCUCGUGUUGUGAAAUGUUGGGUUAAGUCCCGCAACGAGCGCAACCCUUAUCCUUUGUUGCCAGCGGUCCGGCCGGGAACUCAAAGGAGACUGCCAGUGAUAAACUGGAGGAAGGUGGGGAUGACGUCAAGUCAUCAUGGCCCUUACGACCAGGGCUACACACGUGCUACAAUGGCGCAUACAAAGAGAAGCGACCUCGCGAGAGCAAGCGGACCUCAUAAAGUGCGUCGUAGUCCGGAUUGGAGUCUGCAACUCGACUCCAUGAAGUCGGAAUCGCUAGUAAUCGUGGAUCAGAAUGCCACGGUGAAUACGUUCCCGGGCCUUGUACACACCGCCCGUCACACCAUGGGAGUGGGUUGCAAAAGAAGUAGGUAGCUUAACCUUCGGGAGGGCGCUUACCACUUUGUGAUUCAUGACUGGGGUGAAGUCGUAACAAGGUAACCGUAGGGGAACCUGCGGUUGGAU